AGGAUGAACGCUAGCGGCAGGCUUAACACAUGCAAGUCGAGGGGUAUAAAGGGCUUGCUCUUUAGAGACCGGCGCACGGGUGCGUAACGCGUAUGCAAUCUGCCUCUUACAGGGGAAUAGCCCGGAGAAAUCCGGAUUAAUGCCCCAUGGUAUUUUGGUUUGGCAUCGAACCAUUAUUAAAGAUUUAUCGGUAAGAGAUGAGCAUGCGUCCCAUUAGUUAGUUGGUAAGGUAACGGCUUACCAAGACUAUGAU
RNAcentral lists this ribosomal RNA (253 nucleotides) under uncultured bacterium. RNAcentral describes it as "partial small subunit ribosomal RNA". It matches the Rfam family "Bacterial small subunit ribosomal RNA", at positions 26 to 280 of the family's 1533-position model. The record is from RNAcentral.